GACGAACGCUGGCGGCGUGCUUAACACAUGCAAGUCGAACGGAAAGGCCCUGCUUUUGUGGGGUGCUCGAGUGGCGAACGGGUGAGUAACACGUGAGUAACCUGCCCUUGACUUUGGGAUAACUUCAGGAAACUGGGGCUAAUACCGGAUAGGAGCUCCUGCUGCAUGGUGGGGGUUGGAAAGUUUCGGCGGUUGGGGAUGGACUCGCGGCUUAUCAGCUUGUUGGUGGUGUAGUGGCUUACCAAGGCUUUGACGGGUAGCCGGCCUGAGAGGGUGACCGGCCACAUUGGGACUGAGAUACGGCCCAGACUCCUACGGGAGGCAGCAGUGGGGAAUAUUGCACAAUGGGGGGAAGCCUGAUGCAGCAACGCCGCGUGCGGGAUGACGGCCUUCGGGUUGUAAACCGCUUUCGCCUGUGACGAAGCGUGAGUGACGGUAAUGGGUAAAGAAGCACCGGCUAACUACGUG
This 468-nucleotide ribosomal RNA is filed under the name uncultured bacterium. Its description in RNAcentral is "partial 16S ribosomal RNA". It matches the Rfam family "Bacterial small subunit ribosomal RNA", at positions 28 to 507 of the family's 1533-position model. The record is from RNAcentral.